This 744-nucleotide long non-coding RNA is filed under the name Marmota monax (woodchuck). The record is from RNAcentral. Lineage: Eukaryota; Metazoa; Chordata; Mammalia; Rodentia; Sciuridae.
CUCAAUGGCACUUAACCACUGAGUCACAUCCCCAGCCCUUAUUUGUAUUUUAUUUAGAGACAGGGUCUCACUGAGUUGCUUAGGGUCUCACUAAGUUGCUGAGGCUGGCUUUGAACUUGCAAUCUUCCUGCCUCAGCUUCCUGAGCUCCUGGGAUUAUCGGUUUGCAUCACUGUGUCUGGCUGCCUUUAUAUGUUUUUGACUGCAUAAAUAAAUCCUUUAUCUAUCACCACUUAACAACCAACCCCAAAACUUAAUAGCAUUCAAUAACACCAUUCUAUUUGCUCACAGUUCUGUAGGGCAGCAGUUUGGGCUGGGUUUAACUGAUGGUUUGUCUCUAUUGAGUUCAUCUGGGAUCACUCAUGCAUCUGCAGUCACCUGACAGUCAAUUGCCUCCUUCACACAUUUGGCAGUUACCGUGGCUGAUGCCUGGACCUCUGGAAGCUAAUAGUCCUGCUUAUUUGCAUAUUAGUCUCAGGCUGCAAAAAAUGAAUAAGUCCUAAGACAUAAGCAUUUUUCUUUUCUUUGUAUCAUGUUUGCUAAGAAAAAUAUUUCAUCUCUUAAUGGGAGGAGCAUCUGCACAGCUAAUAAACCUAAAUUUUCAAAUACCUCUUAGACUCAAAAGUUUUAACUUAAUGUUUCCUUCCUUUUGCCAAUGUUUAAAAAUUGUAGCUACAUCUUAUCUCAAAAAAAUCACUUAGCCUGCUUUACUCAUUUACAUUUUCUACCUGGCCUGUUGCAUUUGA